Molecule: ribosomal RNA, 550 nt
Filed under: uncultured bacterium
Lineage: Bacteria
Description: bacterial SSU rRNA
Rfam family: Bacterial small subunit ribosomal RNA
Source: RNAcentral
AAUAGAUACCCUGGUAGUCCACGCCGUAAACGAUGAGUGCUAAGUGUUAGGGGGUUUCCGCCCCUUAGUGCUGCAGCUAACGCAUUAAGCACUCCGCCUGGGGAGUACGGUCGCAAGACUGAAACUCAAAGGAAUUGACGGGGGCCCGCACAAGCGGUGGAGCAUGUGGUUUAAUUCGAAGCAACGCGAAGAACCUUACCAGGUCUUGACAUCCCAUUGACCACUAUGGAGACAUAGUUUUCCCUUCGGGGACAACGGUGACAGGUGGUGCAUGGUUGUCGUCAGCUCGUGUCGUGAGAUGUUGGGUUAAGUCCCGCAACGAGCGCAACCCUUGUUCUUAGUUGCCAUCAUUUAGUUGGGCACUCUAAGGAGACUGCCGGUGACAAACCGGAGGAAGGUGGGGAUGACGUCAAAUCAUCAUGCCCCUUAUGACCUGGGCUACACACGUGCUACAAUGGACGGUACAAACGGUUGCCAACCCGCGAGGGGGAGCUAAUCCGAUAAAACCGUUCUCAGUUCGGAUUGUAGGCUGCAACUGCCUACAUGAACG